AGUGAACGCUGGCGGUAGGCCUAACACAUGCAAGUCGAACGGCAGCACAGGAGAGCUUGCUCUCUGGGUGGCGAGUGGCGGACGGGUGAGGAAUACAUCGGAAUCUACUCUGUCGUGGGGGAUAACGUAGGGAAACUUACGCUAAUACCGCAUACGACCUACGGGUGAAAGCAGGGGAUCUUCGGACCUUGCGCGAUUGAAUGAGCCGAUGUCGGAUUAGCUAGUUGGCGGGGUAAAGGCCCACCAAGGCGACGAUCCGUAGCUGGUCUGAGAGGAUGAUCAGCCACACUGGAACUGAGACACGGUCCAGACUCCUACGGGAGGCAGCAGUAAGGAAUAUUGGGCAAUGGACGAAAGUCUGACCCAGCCAUGCCGCGUGAAGGAUUAAGGUCCUCUGGAUUGUAAACUUCUUUUCUCUGGGGCGAAAACCAGCUAUUCUUAGCUAUUUGACAGUACCAGAGGAAUAAGCACCGGCUAACUCCGUGCCAGCAGCCGCCGUAA
This 501-nucleotide ribosomal RNA is filed under the name uncultured bacterium. RNAcentral's name for it is "partial 16S ribosomal RNA". It matches the Rfam family "Bacterial small subunit ribosomal RNA", at positions 29 to 523 of the family's 1533-position model. The record is from RNAcentral.